Non-coding RNA from Caenorhabditis elegans, 145 nucleotides. Lineage: Eukaryota; Metazoa; Nematoda; Chromadorea; Rhabditida; Rhabditidae. The record is from Ensembl.
ACAUUCCGUCUUUUUAGUGUCCCUUGUGACAGCCAUAAGGGGGUAUUUUCAUAUUUAUUUUGAUAGACGGUGCGCGAUGCAGGCGAAGGUCGCCUUAAGGUGAGGCAGGCAGGUGUUUUGGCGCCUACAUGAAAGACCUAACGCU